GACGAACGCUGGCGGCGCGCUUAACACAUGCAAGUCGAACGGAAAGGCCUGCUUUCCCUUGUGGAUUGCGGGUACUCGAGUGGCGAACGGGUGAGUAACACGUGAGUGAUCUGCCCCCAACUUGGGUAUAAGCCUGGGAAACUGGGUCUAAUUCCCGAUAGGACUGCAGGGUGGUGCCUGUGGUGGAAAACGAUUUUCUAGUGGUUGGGGAUGAGCUCGCGGCCUAUCAGCUUGUUGGUGGGGUAAUGGCCUACCAAGGCGGCGACGGGUAGCCGGCCUGGGAGGGUGGACGGCGACAUUGGGACUGAGAUACGGCCCAGACUCCUACGGGAGGCAGCAGUGGGGAAUAUUGCACAAUGGGCGGAAGCCUGAUGCAGCGACGCCGCGUGGGGGAUGACGGCCUUCGGGCUGUAAACUCCUUUCGACCGCGAGGAAGCCACCUGGUUGGAAGGGUGGUGACGGUAGUGGUAGAAGAAGCACCGGCUAACUACGUG
Molecule: ribosomal RNA, 494 nt
Filed under: uncultured bacterium
Lineage: Bacteria
Description: partial 16S ribosomal RNA
Rfam family: Bacterial small subunit ribosomal RNA
Source: RNAcentral